Molecule: ribosomal RNA, 445 nt
Filed under: uncultured bacterium
Lineage: Bacteria
Description: partial 16S ribosomal RNA
Rfam family: Bacterial small subunit ribosomal RNA
Source: RNAcentral
GUGAGGAAUAUUGGACAAUGGGCGCAAGCCUGAUCCAGCCAUGCCGCGUGCAGGAAGACGCAUCUAUGGUGUGUAAACUGCUUUUGUACGGGAAGAAACACUCCCUCGUGAGGGAGCUUGACGGUACCGUAAGAAUAAGGAUCGGCUAACUCCGUGCCAGCAGCCGCGGUAAUACGGAGGAUCCAAGCGUUAUCCGGAAUCAUUGGGUUUAAAGGGUCCGUAGGCGGUUUAAUAAGUCAGUGGUGAAAGCCCAUCGCUCAACGAUGGAACGGCCAUUGAUACUGUUAGACUUGAAUUACAAGGAAGUAACUAGAAGAUGUAGUGUAGCGGUGAAAUGCUUAGAUAUUACAUGGAAUACCAAUUGCGAAGGCAGGUUACUACUUGUGGAUUGACGCUGAUGGACGAAAGCGUGGGGAGCGAACAGGAUUAGAUACCCGGGUAGUCC